AGACGCCCACUCGCUGGGCCAAUAAGCAAUGCCCCACCGGCUGUCCCGCCCCCAACACCGUAGUGGUUGGUUAGUUCGCGUUAUUUGAGGCGACUGCCACGCUUCUAUUGGCUUUCCGCCAGUUCCAUCAUUGUGAUGGACAGUUAUUUGCCUUUAAUAGCGGAAGUGCCACGACUGGUACUAGCUGUAUUACAGGGUUACCAUUUUCUACAUUUGGAGCAAGCACUGCAGAUGAAAGUUUAAGACUAUCCACUGAACAGCCUGUCUGUGACCUGCUGAGACAAGGCACUGUCUACUGGCCAGCUGUCUCCAUCCAGCAGAAGGAUCCAAGGGCUGAACAUCUGCUUGCACUCUGUUAAAGAUGCUGUCUGGAGCUUAGACACUGCAAUGCCUUUUGCAUUCCAUGACCUUGUCCCCUUUUAAGAUGGACAAUUUUUGGGAGGGGUGAAGAAAAAUGAGUAGAUGCAAGUAUCAAGUUUGAGAGUCAGCAAAUCUAAAUGAACAGAUGUGUCAACAGUGUAUUUGAGGUAGAGACUGAUGUUGGCAGU
Molecule: non-coding RNA, 548 nt
Organism: Chiloscyllium plagiosum (whitespotted bambooshark)
Lineage: Eukaryota; Metazoa; Chordata; Chondrichthyes; Orectolobiformes; Hemiscylliidae
Source: RefSeq, a predicted model, not a curated record